GAUGAACGCUAGCUACAGGCUUAACACAUGCAAGUCGAGGGGCAGCAUUUUAGUUUGCUUGCAAACUAAAGAUGGCGACCGGCGCACGGGUGAGUAACACGUAUCCAACCUGCCGAUAACUCGGGGAUAGCCUUUCGAAAGAAAGAUUAAUAUCCGAUAGUAUAUUUUCUCCGCAUGGCGAGAAUAUUAAAGAAUUUCGGUUAUCGAUGGGGAUGCGUUCCAUUAGUUUGUUGGCGGGGUAACGGCCCACCAAGACUACGAUGGAUAGGGGUUCUGAGGGAAGGUCCCCCACAUUGGAACUGAGACACGGUCCAA
Molecule: ribosomal RNA, 315 nt
Filed under: uncultured bacterium
Lineage: Bacteria
Description: bacterial SSU rRNA
Rfam family: Bacterial small subunit ribosomal RNA
Source: RNAcentral